GGAAGGAUCAUUGAAUAUGCAAACCACAACACGCACUCUCUACUUGUGUCUGACGUUAGGUCAACAUGCGCAAGCAUGUGGCCUACUAACCUACACACCAUUGACCAACCAAUUAUCAAACCAAACUCUGAAGCUUUGGCUGCUGUUAAUCGGCAGUUUUAACAAAGAACAACUCUCAACAACGGAUAUCUUGGCUCUCGCAACGAUGAAGAACGCAGCGAAAUGCGAUACGUAGUGUGAAUUGCAGAAUUCCGUGAACCAUCGAAUUUUUGAACGCAUAUUGCGCUCGACUCCUCGGAGAAGAGCAUGUCUGCCUCAGCGUCGGUUUACACCCUCACCCCUCUUCCUUAACAGGAGGCGCCUGUCGUGCUUGCUCAAGCCGGCAGCAGGGGUGGAUCUGGCUCUCCCAAUUGGUUCACUCCGAUUGGGUUGGCUGAAGCACAGAGGAUUAAACUGGGACCCAAUUCGGGCUCAACUGGAUAGGUAGCAACACCCUCGGGUGCCUACACGAAGUUGUGUCUGAGGACCUGGUUAGGAUCCAAGCAGGAAACAUGCCUCUGGCAUGUACUCUGUAUUCGACCUGAGCUCAGGCAAGGCUACCCGCUGAACUUAAGCAUAUCAAUAAGCGGAGGAAAAGAAACUAACAAGGAUGCGCUUAGUAACGGCGAGCGAACCGCGCAAAGCCCAACUUGAAAAUCUCCCUUGGAGAAUUGUAGUCUAUAGAAGUACCCUCUGCAACGGGCUGAGCUAAAGUCUCCUGGAAAGGAGCGUCAGAGAGGGUGAGAACCCCGUAAGCUCACGCUUUGUUGCCUCACGAGGUGCUUUCAAAGAGUCGGGUUGCUUGGGAAUGCAGCCCAAAUUUGGUGGUAAAUCCCAUCUAAGGCUAAAUAUUGGCGAGAGACCGAUAGCGAACAAGUACCGUGAGGGAAAGAUGAAAAGAACUUUGAAAAGAGAGUUAAAAAGUGCUUGAAAUUGUUGAGGGGGAAGCGUUUGAAUGCUCGAGUGCGCUCAGGCUUAUGGGUCCUUAACGGGGCUCUGUAUGUGCUGAGUGCUGGCCAGCAUGGGUUAGGCUAGUGGGACAAAAGCGUGGGUUGAUACCAUGCCGCUGCCACUGGCUUGACCAAGGCGUGAAGACUGCCCUUGUCCUUCGGGAACUGCAGUCUCAAGAUGCUGGUGAAAGGCUUUCAACCGACCCGUCUUGAAACACGGACCAAGGAGUCUAACAUGUAUGCGAGUUGGUGGGUGGAAAACCCAUGAAGCGUAAGGAAACUGACUGGUGGGAUGGCCUGUGCCUGCACCAUCGACCGACCAUGCGUUUCUGCAAAAGGUUUGAGUGCGAGCAUACCUGUUGGGACCCGAAAGAUGGUGAACUAUGCCUGAGCAGGGUGAAGCCAGGUGAAAACCUGGUGGAGGCUCGUAGAUGUGCUGACGUGCAAAUCGCUUUUCGGACUUGGGUAUAGGGGCGAAAGACUAAUCGAACCAUCUAGUAGCUGGUUUCCUC
This 1501-nucleotide unclassified non-coding RNA is filed under the name uncultured Sphaeropleales. RNAcentral's name for it is "sequence contains 18S rRNA gene, ITS1, 5.8S rRNA gene, ITS2, 28S rRNA gene". The stretch from base 577 to 1501 matches the Rfam family "Eukaryotic large subunit ribosomal RNA", at positions 1 to 961 of the family's 3401-position model. Lineage: Eukaryota; Viridiplantae; Chlorophyta; Chlorophyceae; Sphaeropleales. The record is from RNAcentral.